This 250-nucleotide ribosomal RNA is filed under the name uncultured bacterium. RNAcentral's name for it is "partial 16S ribosomal RNA". It matches the Rfam family "Bacterial small subunit ribosomal RNA", at positions 61 to 339 of the family's 1533-position model. The record is from RNAcentral.
GUCGAACGAGACCUUCGGGUCUAGUGGCGCACGGGUGCGUAACGCGUGGGAAUCUGCCCUUGGGUUCGGAAUAACUUCGGGAAACUGAAGCUAAUACCGGAUGAUGACGAAAGUCCAAAGAUUUAUCGCUCUGAGAUAGGCCCGCGCAAGAUUAGUUUGUUGGUGAGGUAAUGGCUCACCAAGGCUACGAUCUUUAGCUGAUUUGAGAGGAUGAUCAGCCACACUGGGACUGAGACACGGCCCAGACUCC